UAGUGGCGAACGGGUGAGUAACACGUGGGCAAUCUGCCCUUCACUCUGGGACAAGCCCUGGAAACGGGGUCUAAUACCGGAUAACACUUCCACUCUCCUGGGUGGAGGUUAAAAGCUCCGGCGGUGAAGGAUGAGCCCGCGGCCUAUCAGCUUGUUGGUGAGGUAACGGCUCACCAAGGCGACGACGGGUAGCCGGCCUGAGAGGGCGACCGGCCACACUGGGACUGAGACACGGCCCAGACUCCUACGGGAGGCAGCAGUGGGGAAUAUUGCACAAUGGGCGAAAGCCUGAUGCAGCGACGCCGCGUGAGGGAUGACGGCCUUCGGGUUGUAAACCUCUUUCAGCAGGGAAGAAGCGAAAGUGACGGUACCUGCAGAAGAAGCGCCGGCUAACUACGUGCCAGCAGCCGCGGUAAUACGUAGGGCGCAAGCGUUGUCCGGAAUUAUUGGGCGUAAAGAGCUCGUAGGCGGUCUGUCACGUCGGAUGUGAAAGCCCGGGGCUUAACCCCGGGUCUGCAUUCGAUACGGGCAGACUAGAGUGUGGUAGGGGAGAUCGGAAUUCCU
This 564-nucleotide ribosomal RNA is filed under the name Streptomyces phaeofaciens. Its description in RNAcentral is "bacterial SSU rRNA". It matches the Rfam family "Bacterial small subunit ribosomal RNA", at positions 93 to 671 of the family's 1533-position model. Lineage: Bacteria; Bacillati; Actinomycetota; Actinomycetes; Kitasatosporales; Streptomycetaceae. The record is from RNAcentral.